AGACUGGCGUCUGCUACCUGCAGUCGAACGCUGAACCACUUUCGGGUGGGGAUGAGUGGCGAACGGGUGAGUAACACGUGGGUAAUCUGCCCUGCACUCUGGGAUAAGGCUUGGAAACGAGGUCUAAUACCGGAUAUCACCUCCUACCGCAUGGUGGGUGGUUGAAAGUUCUGGCGGUGCAGGAUGAACCCGCGGCCUAUCAGCUUGUUGGUGGGGUAGUGGCCUACCAAGGCGACGACGGGUAGCCGGCCUGAGAGGGUGACCGGCCACACUGGGACUGAGACACGGCCCAGACUCCUACGGGAGGCAACAGUGGGGAAUAUUGCACAAUGGGCGCAAGCCUGAUGCAGCGACGCCGCGUGAGGGAUGACGGCCUUCGGGUUGUAAACCUCUUUCGCCAGGGACGAAGCGCAAGUGACGGUACCUGGAUAAAAAGCACCGGCUAACUACGUGCCAGCAGCCGCGGUAAUACGUACGGUGCGAGCGUUGUCCGGAUUUAUUGGGCGUAAAGAGCUCGUAGGCGGUUUGUCGCGUCGGCCGUGAAAUCUCCACGCUUAACGUGGAGCGUGCGGUCGAUACGGCCAGACUUGAGUUCGGUAGGGGAGACUGGAAUUCCUGGUGUAGCGGUGAAAUGCGCAGAUAUCAGGAGGAACACCGGUGGGCGAAGGCGGGUCUCUGGGGCCGAUACUGACGCUGAGGAGCGAAAGCGUGGGGAGCGAACAGGAUUAUAUACCCCUGGAUAGUCCACGCUAGUAAACGUUGGGGCGCUAAGGUGUGGGGCGACAUCC
RNAcentral lists this ribosomal RNA (788 nucleotides) under Amycolatopsis kentuckyensis. RNAcentral describes it as "bacterial SSU rRNA". It matches the Rfam family "Bacterial small subunit ribosomal RNA", at positions 38 to 836 of the family's 1533-position model. The record is from RNAcentral. Lineage: Bacteria; Bacillati; Actinomycetota; Actinomycetes; Pseudonocardiales; Pseudonocardiaceae.